UAACAAUAUAUUUCUAAAGUUUUGAGUCAUUCCCGUUCAUUUGAAGCGUAAUUUCCCCCUUACUGUGGCUAGUUUGGAUGAGAUGACUUGACCCUAGCUAGCAUAACAUAAAUGGCAGCUAGCUCUACACUAUUUCGGGCAUUCGUUAACAAUCAGUGUUCAGAUAACUAGCGCAAACGUGCCGAGAUAUCUUGUUUAUUAUAAAAAUAAACGCUUGUGUUGUGCCAUGGCUUAUAUGGUGAUGACGUUUGAGAUUGUAAAUUUACGGGCCACAGAUGUGUCUAUGGUAAGGCCGACCUGACGAGAUAGCUGCCUACUGAGGUUUGAUUGGAUAUGGACAUUGUUUAUUUCAGAAGGAAAAUGUUUGGAGUGGAAUUGUUUGGAAGACAAUCUUGGGACAAUUUUGCUCUUUGGGUCUUUGUGCCAACCAUGCCAGCUAUCGUAGGGUGCUCUGGGAACUUCUUAGAUCUGUUUACUGUAUGUACACUUACUGAAAUAAGCAUUUUGUUUACAUAAAAUCCCUUGUCAUUUCACCACUAGGUUUGAAACCCAGACAGCACGAAGCAUCUUGCCGACGUCAAAAUCAGAUCAACAGACAGGGACAUCAGCCUUCUCUUGGGAAUAGGCCAGAUAUGCCAUAACAAGAAAUGGUGUGUUGCCCCUGCGGUUGUGAAGAGGAUGCUGUGGAGGUGGCAGCAUGAACGUGUCACACAGACAUUGGCUAAACUACUCGGCUUCUACACUUGCCCUCAGAGUUCACAUAUGGUGAAGUGCACAGGUGUCCAGUCAGGUUCAGACUGAUGCUGGUAACAAGAGGAAAACAUGCUAAUUGAUGACCUUUCCAGCAUGUCCAACUCAUCAGCAUCAGGGGAGGAGAGUCGGUGAAGGUGGUGCACCAUCCAGGACCAGUCAUGGGCCACCAACACCUCUGCAAAAUCUGCACUUCUUGUGAACCCUCUAGAAGACACUACAAUCACAAAACUGCUAAUAAACCAUCACAUACUACAUCACAUCAUGGUUCUCCAUGUGUUACUGCACCCUCGGCACAAGUUCUUUGCUAGAUUGCCAUCUGGCAGAUGCAUCAGGACAGAAAUGUAGCUACUAUUUGUGAUUAUAUCUCCCCACACUCUUUCUUGCUUUGUAUGGCAGUGUGUCUCUGUGUGUGUCAGAAUGGAAGGUGUCGCACCAUUGAAGUCAAUGGGCAGUGGCAUUGCAUGAGGGAUAUAGAAGUCCAGAUAUCCUUGAUGCUUUGGUGCCAGCUGUUUUUUUUUUUUUUUUAUCUGGUCACCCACACUUCCCUCUUCAUUAUGUCCUAUAGAUUUCCAUACCACGUUUUGGUGCUUUGGUGGUACGGACAUUCUAACUCACCAGAAAAAAAGAAAAAAAUGAAAAUGAAUGGAGGGUUAUGUCUGGUGAUUUCUGGCAAAUUAGAAUGCCCAUAACAUCAAAGUGGCACUGGAUUACUCAACCAUUUGCCCCUUAAAAGAUAGCUUCUGCCAAUUUCAAUAUGCUGUUGUAUACCUCAUGCUACCCUUGACUUGUCAGUACCCGGUGAUGCUGGCAUUUUUUUGACUCAGCUCUUUCUGAGAUUUGAGCUAUUCUAAUAGGGGCAGACUUUGAUUGCAUUAAAAACCUUCUUAACAUAGGUCUAAUCCAAAUACUAUCCCAAAAGGUAUCACUGUCUGUUUGCUAGUUGUCUGCUGAUGUUGCAUAACCUUUUGAAUGUUAUUGGGAAUAAAUGAAGAUGUUUUUUUGAAAUGUAAACAAACGUUUGUCCCCAUUACAAUGACAUGGGUAUGUGGAAGAGCUGUCCCUUACUCAUGCACCUGUUUAACAAAAUGUUAUUUUUAUUCAAGUAUGCAUCGUGUCUAGGGGUAUGCAGUGUUUUUGUUAUAUAAAUGGCACAUUACUUUAUACUGUAGGCCUAAGUUAUUUCAGAUUAUUUAAAAUGGCAUCUGGGAAUUCCAAAAUAAAGGUGAAAUAAAACACUGGUGUCCCUUUUAUUUGGCUCUUAUACAUGGGGGGGGGGGGGUUCUUUUAUAAUCUUUGUAGCAUAUUCAUCCUCUUCUCAGUUGCAUGGCUGAGACUGUUUAAAUAGGCUACUGCCUGCCAAUACUGCACGCUUCUACUUAGUUGCAUUU
This is a long non-coding RNA of Engraulis encrasicolus (European anchovy), 2141 nucleotides long. RefSeq lists it as uncharacterized. Lineage: Eukaryota; Metazoa; Chordata; Actinopteri; Clupeiformes; Engraulidae. The record is from RefSeq and is a predicted model, not a curated record. The transcript has 4 exons.